This 364-nucleotide RNase P RNA is filed under the name Pseudomonadota bacterium. RNAcentral describes it as "RNase P RNA component class A". It matches the Rfam family "Bacterial RNase P class A". From Rfam's summary of the family: Ribonuclease P (RNase P) is a ubiquitous endoribonuclease, found in archaea, bacteria and eukarya as well as chloroplasts and mitochondria. Its best characterised activity is the generation of mature 5'-ends of tRNAs by cleaving the 5'-leader elements of precursor-tRNAs. RNAcentral also lists the same sequence under 1 other name. The record is from RNAcentral. Lineage: Bacteria; Pseudomonadati; Pseudomonadota.
GGAGCAGGUCGGACGGUCGCGGCGCGAAUCGCGCCGAGGAAAGUCCGGGCUCCGCAGGGCAGGGCGCUGGGUAACGCCCAGCGGGGGCGACCCCAGGGAGAGUGCCACAGAAACAGACCACCGUCGCGCGCGCACGCGGCGGCCAGGGUGCAACGGUGGGGUAAGAGCCCACCGGCGGGCUGGCGACAGUCCGGCCAGGCAAACCCCGCCCGGAGCAAGGCCAGGUAGGGGGAGAUGAGGCGGCCCGCCGAUCCCCGGGUAGGCUGCUGGAGGCCGCGGGCAACCGCGGUCGCAGAGAGAUGACCGUCGCGCCGCGCGGCGAGCGCGCGGCGCACAGAACCCGGCUUACAGACCUGCUCCCGUU